This is a non-coding RNA of Paramisgurnus dabryanus, 1861 nucleotides long. Lineage: Eukaryota; Metazoa; Chordata; Actinopteri; Cypriniformes; Cobitidae. The record is from RefSeq and is a predicted model, not a curated record.
CAACGCGUUCUCGGGACGAGAACGGAUUGGCGGGGGAGGAUGUCACAAGGUGACGAUCUCUUGGGCGGAACCAAAAGUCGGGAAACUUUGGUUCCGCCCGGAUGUUUCCGCCCAGACCGAAGAACGGAAACACCGGACAUCCGGCAGAUUCGCGGAGGCUGUAAUCAGCCGAUUGGGCACAGCUGUGCCUAGUUGAAGAGAUCGCUGGGCAAUUGGAUGACUGAAGUACAGAGAGGAGUAUAUAAAGCACAGUUAGAUCACAGUUCGGGUGGUCGGGCACGAGAGGGGGAUUGACACGGGGAGAGCUCCUCUGCUUAGGGCAGGAGAGGUAACUACGUACCUUUUGAAGAGCCCGCAGGCUCUGUUGAUCCGGGCUGCGCUUGAAGCGCGCGGAAAGAAGACAGGAGCUGCCUGGGGUGAAAGAAAGGCGAUACGUGAGUGGAGAAAAGGAGCACCCCGAAGAGAGCAUUGUGCUGUCAAGCCUGUGCUUAGUGUGUGCUGGGAAACGGAGCUGUGCUCGUUUUUGGACGUGGUGGCUGUCUGUGGUUCUCUCUCUCUCUCGUUGCAGUUUUGAUUGUGGACCUGCUGGAGUGAACAGGAAAAUCCUAUGGGUCGAAAGGAACUUGUUUUAAUCAAUACUGAAGGAGUAAAGCAGGAAGAAAAUUGACCUUCUGGUACAACGUAAACAAAGGCUAUUCGCCGUGAGUAUACCCUUUUUGUGUGGAGUAACUGGCAAAAGUUAACUUGUAUAACUAUUGGAAACCUCCAGGAGAAGGAGGGCGGCCCUACCCCUAUAAGAGUGUGGUGGGCGAGCCGUGAGAAGUCCAACUUCAAACAGCCACCGCAACGAGACUUAUUGUGGUCGUAUUUCCCAUCGCCUUAUCGUAGCCCAAGCGCAGUGGAGGACACCGGGCGCUUCCCUUGUUGUGGUGCACUUCUAGUGUGGUGAGUGAGACUGUGUAAUAAAUCUUUUUCACGUUUGGAGUGGUGCUGUGUAUUGCUGUGGGUUGCUGUGUGUCUUGUAGACGAAGCCCCGCAUUAUCCAUUUUCUUCCACUGGGCAGAGGACGGAGAGGCCAACGACUACAGAAACCACUGUUACUAUAAAUAGUGUGCUGUUUGGAGUACGAAGGGACGCAGACUAAGAGCUGUCCGUGACCGUGAGUAAACCAUUGGAAACAUUCGUGGUGUGAACUUACCUGUGUCUGUUUUGCCGCAGAGUCAGAGGCGAAAGGGUCCGCCGCCCCGUGGUCUCUACGAAAAGGGCGCCCCCGUCUAGGAAUCGAUCGGCCUAUGGGCAUUGGAGAUAGGGCAGCGCUCGACCCGGUGAGGUGGUGUGUGACCUUCGCCCCUCUGCUGACCUACGGAGGAGAACCAUACUUACCCAGAAAGCUGUAAACAGCAGAGCCGCGGCCACCUGUGGAGAGAGAGCAGAACGAGAGUGAAUAAUAGAAGAACAAACUGUGAACGUGAUACCUACCCAGAAAGCUGUAAACAGCAGAGCCGGUGAGAAAUACUCGAAGUCUCAGUAACAGUGUCUUUGUGUCCUAGCGGCCACCUGUGGAGAGAGAGCAGAACGAGAGUGAAUAAUCGAAGAACAAACUGUGAACGUGAUACCUACCCAGAAAGCUGUAAACAGCAGAGGAGGCGAGAAAUACUCGGAGUCUCAGUAACAGUGUCUUUGUGUCCUAGUGGCCUCCUGUGGAGAGAACGGAAAACGAGAAGGAACAUGAGGAGAAUGGACUGUGUGAAGAUACAGUGGUGGUGGAGGAGAGCCUAGAGUGGCCAUUGUUUUAAGUCCCCCGUUUCCCCUUCCCUAUUUAAUAUUUUUAAGUAAUUUAAUAAAGGAUAUUUUAAUUUUA